UUUUCCACCAACGUAAUUUCGUGCUGUGCUUUAGGAACAAUGUAGGCAUUAAAAAUGAACAUCAUUCAGUGUUCCUAAGUGCAGUAGAAAACCCUUUGGAUAUGUUCUUCUGCAAGCAGUGUUUAAAAGAAAAAGAAAAAGAAAAAGAAAGAAAGGAAAAAAGAAAAAAGAAUUAGAAAAAGGGGCGAAAAGAGAAGAAAAGGGGUGGAAAAGAGUGGGAGAGAUUGAAAAAGAGAGAGAAAGAGAAAAGAUAAACCAGCCCUGGUGGAUCUGGUAGCAGAUCUAUAACUAACGAGCCACACGAUCAUAUAACAGUAUUUAACAAGCAUCUGACAAAUGUUCUAGGCAGUACAGCAUUUUCAACCAUGGCUUUGUUCAGAUUGUAUGACUUGAAAUACGUCGUUGCUCGGACCAGUCUGAAGGCGGAAGAUUGUCAAAAUCGAGCUGGUGUUCGUUUCCUGGGUUAGGGCGCCUUUCCUGAACUCCCUGCGGGUGAAAAAGGGAUGCAGGGUCAGCUCCACAGACGAAAGAUAUAGGAGAAUGAAAGACAAAGCACGAGGACAUGUGCCUAGCAAGCACAACAGGACAGAGGAUGCAUCCUGAGAGCUAGGAAACAUUUCUCAUCCAAAUGAAAAAAUAAUGCCCUCCUACUACAUCUGCAAUUUCCUUUGCAACACAAACAUGCAUAAAAUGGGCAUGGUAGAUAGCAAAGACCUAUCAAUUUCCUUCUGUAUUUCUGCUAAUAAAUAAACUUCUAAAUGUUAAAAACACUCUUAUCUGUCACAUUCACAAGAUAGGUAGUGUAAAUUCCUGUUGCAAAUAUACAAACAGAGAUCCAAGAGGUUGCCUCUGUUUUUGUAUAUCUUUCUCUCAAGAAAUGCACUAUCAAAACAUUAAUUAUAUUUGAAAGGGAGCAGAUUAUUUGUUUGAGAAAGAAUUACAUUCUUGAAUUUAUAUUCCAAGCAGAUCUCUCCUCCUGUCUGCCGAGAGGGUUGAACUGUAAAUCUGUCUCAAAUGAUGUACCCCUAAAACGGAGGUAUCUGCGGAGGAAGAAGGUGACGUGACGAGAAACGCCUGACAGCCAAAGUGGGGAACUGUCCGGGAGAAGGAUACGUGAUGAAUGAG
RNAcentral lists this long non-coding RNA (1125 nucleotides) under Struthio camelus australis. RNAcentral's name for it is "lncRNA (ENSSCUG00000010144.1)". Lineage: Eukaryota; Metazoa; Chordata; Aves; Struthioniformes; Struthionidae. The record is from RNAcentral.